UAUCUAUCUAUCUAACUGUAGUAGUAUGUAACAUCACAUCAUGUAUGUAACUGUAGUGGUAUGUAACAUCACAUCAUGUAUGUAACUGUAGUGGUAUGUAACAUCAUGUAUGUAACUGUAGUAGUAUGUAACAUCAUGUAUGUAACUGUAAUAGUAUGUAACAUCAUGUAUGUAACUGAAGUGGUAUGUAACAUCAUGUAUGUAACUGAAGUAGUAUGUAACAUCACAUCAUGUAUCUAUCUAACUGUAGCAGUAUGUAACAUCAUGUAUGUAACUGUAGUAGUAUGUAACAUCACAUCAUGUAUGUAACAUCAUGUAUGUAACUGUAGUAGUAUGUAACAUCACAUCAUGUAUGUAACAUCAUGUAACGGCCUGGCCAUAGAGAGGGGUUUUUUGUUCUUUAUUUUGGUUAGGCCAGGGUGUUACAUUGGGUGGGCGUUCUACGUUCUGUUUCUAUGUGUUUGUAGUUCUUUGUUUUGGGCCGUGUGUGGCUCCCAAUCAGGCACAGCUGAAGUUCGUUGUUGCUGAUUGGGAGUCACACAUAAGGAGCAUGUUUUUCCGUUGGGGUUUUUGGUGGGUAAUUGUUUCUGUUUAGUGUUUUGCACCUGACGGGACUGUUUGGCUGUUCGGUUUUCUUGUUUUGUUUCGUAUAUUGUGUUCUUUCUAUUAAAUUAAAUUCAAUGAUGAACACUAACUCUGCUGCACCUUGGUCUACUCUCUCUCUACCGACAGCCGUUACACAUCAUGUAUGUAACUGUAGUAGUAUGUAACAUCAUGUAUGUAUGUAACUAUCAUGUAUGUAACUGUAGUAGUAUGUAACAUCACAUCAUGUACGUAACUGUAGUAGUAUGUAACAUCACAUUAUGUAUGUAACUGUAGUAGUAUAUAACAUGUAUGUAACUGUAGCAGUAUGUAAAUUCAUGUAUGUAACUGUAGUAGUAUGUUACAUCACAUCAUGUAUGUAACAUCAUGUAUGUAACAUCACAUCAUGUAUGUAACUGUAGUAGUAUGUAACAUCAGAUCAUGUAUGUAACUGUAGUAGUAUGUAACUUCACAUCAUGUAUGUAACUGUAGUAGUAUGUAACUUCACAUCAUGUAUGUAACUGUAGUAGUAUGAAACAUCACAUCAUGUAUGUAACUGUAGUAGUAUGUAACAUCAUGUAUGUAACUGUAGUAGUAUGUAACAUCACAUCAUGUAUGUAACUGUAGAAGUAUGUAACACCACAUCAUGUAUGUAACUGUAAUGGUAUGUAACAUCAAUUAUGUAAAUGUAG
RNAcentral lists this long non-coding RNA (1274 nucleotides) under Salmo salar (Atlantic salmon). RNAcentral's name for it is "lncRNA (ENSSSAG00000093789.1)". The record is from RNAcentral. Lineage: Eukaryota; Metazoa; Chordata; Actinopteri; Salmoniformes; Salmonidae.